RNAcentral lists this long non-coding RNA (4668 nucleotides) under Oreochromis niloticus (Nile tilapia). Its description in RNAcentral is "lncRNA (ENSONIG00000025148.2)". The record is from RNAcentral. Lineage: Eukaryota; Metazoa; Chordata; Actinopteri; Cichliformes; Cichlidae.
ACUAUGUUCUAUCAAACUAUCAACAGCACUAACAUUGAUUGGUAUCUGACUCUUAACAGAAAUACUGCUCUGAUCUGUACUAGUAUCAAAGUUUUUGAGUAAUUGGGCAGAUUCUCGUCAGAUCCAUGUGUUUAUCGGCAUGUCUUCUCCUGCAGGGAGGGAGUCUGCGCCUUGCCCCUGCAAGUGUCCACCUGCUCAGGUACAGGCAUUUGGCCACCCACUUGGUCCAUACGCAUCCAGAGUGUUCUCAACAGUGGCAGGUAAGAUGAACAAGCUUAUCCGUGUGUGCUUGUGUAUGUGUGUGUGUAUUUUUACUCUAAUAGAUUAUCGAUGCACUGCUGGGUUGGUUGGCUGCAGCAGACAGUGGAAAUGGGCCUGGCCUCCCCUGAGGAAACAAGAUAUCUCACACAGGCACGCUACACACAGUAGCUACAGACACAGGCACAGUGUGACUUGCGAGAAGAAAAAGCUCUCACGCGCAGGACUUUAAAGCGCAUUUUGCACACUCACACACACUUACGAACAAUUAGACACACCACACACCUGCUGGGUUUUCAGAUGAAGCUGAGCUCCAUUCUGGCUCUAACCGAAGAUGAAAGGGGGAGAAGAAGAAAGACAGGCAGGAGGGAGAGGAGGGACUAGAGAGAGGGAUGGGAAGGUUGAGGAGUAGAGAGGAGGUGGGUAGGGAGCUAUAAGACAAAGACAGAAAGCAGAUAAAGCAGGAAGAGGAGGGGCGUGGAUGAAGAGUGAUGGCAAACUCUUCCACCUCUCCUCCCUUCUUCUGUCUCACUCUCCUUUGUGAACAGAUGGAUAGAGGUAUCAGAUUGUAAUGAGAGCCAAAACAGGAAAAAAGGGAUAGAAAGACACAUAUGUACGCUACAUACACACAUGACUGAACACAAUACUUUUAACUCUGCUGACAGAUGCAGUACUUUGCAUCCCAUGUAGUUUACUGGCUCUACGUUGUCCACAGCCAUAAUAUUUACAUGCAUUCAGGUCAGACAGGUUAUACAAUACAGUGUAUACCAAAUGUUACUCUAAAUCUGAGCAGUGCCUAGUGAUGAUGUUUCUCCUAGAUAGACACACAGGGAAGAAGCUAGAGGCUCCAGGCGUGUGAUGCAUCAGGCGAACAGAGGAAAGAAAGAGAUGAGGCGAGAUGAGCCCUGUACAUUUUUACAUGCAGAGUUAUGAGGGUAUGGUGAAGGAUCCAAAAGUCACAGUGUCAGUGAGUUCAACAGCAGUAUGUGAUGAAUUCUUCGUGUAUCACGGCAUGCUUCUUCUCUGAGUUGAUGGACAUUAAUAAUGUUAGUACUGUAACAUAACUGUGGCUCGGAGGGUAGAGCAGGUCAUCUACUCACCGCGUGGUUAGCGGGUCGAUCCCUGACUGCUUCAUCUCGAAGUGUCCUUGGACAAGAUGCUGAACCCGAUGCACUCAUCAGCGUGAGUGUUGGAUAGAAAGCACUUAAAUGUGUGUGUGAUUAGUGUAGAAAACCACUAUAAAAGAACUCAACCAUUUACAUUCAGCAAACACGAUUUAGUUUUGAGAGCAGAGGUUGGGAGUCCAGUCAUUUAUACGCCAAGCAACAUCAGGAAUGCUGCUUUAUUUAACAUUAACACACAUUUAAGGGGAACACUAGUGGUCUUUAAUCACUUCAGUCAUCAGUUAACAGUUUAAACAUUAACAAUCUUACGAGUCUUUGUGCUGUCAGGUGCAAAGCUGUACAUAGCCAAGCCUCUCUUUCCAUCUCCAACUAUGUUUAUAUCUAACUGUCAAUUUAAGGUGUGCAAACUUUUAAAACAUUAAAGAGAAGCGAACUCUCAAUAAGAUGUUUUCCAUCAGUUCUUUUGAGAUUGCUGUCACAGUUGAGCAUCCACUACAAAGCUGGGAAGUGUCUUUCGACAGUCGAUUGGGGUUAGGUUUCCUUGGACAUCAUUAGAGGAUUUUUCACUACUCCCAAGCUUUUCCAUAACUUUUCUGAAAGAAGCACGAGUGCCAAAAAUGGCCUUUAAAAGCACUUACCGACGGCCUUGCCGAGAGUUGGAUUUGAAGAUUAAUGUCUCUCUCAUGUGUGUCGGGUAAAUGGCCACAGGCAGCAGCUGCUUAGCUUAGCACAAAGCCUGUAAACAGACAUCCUGAAGCCUUGUCAUCGCUGUGCUUUUGGAUGUAAUCCAGUUUAGUUUUCAGGAAGCUACUGUUACAGGGAAAGGAAAAGUGUGGCACAUAACCCUUUGGAAAACCACAACUUGUCAGUUGCACUCUUCUUCUGAUCUAACUCUUGGCAAGGAAGCAAGUCUUUCUUAAAGAGCAGUAUUGUAGUCGUACAAAAAGAGACGUACAUGUGUCUUCGCAGAGGAGGGUUGUUUUAGCUCUGUGUGUGUGUGAGUGUGCGUUGACGCUUAUUGUGGUGCCUUUGCAUCUACUCACAGGGUAAAUCAGUUACUUUUCUGUAGUGACUGAUGAACGCACUGGUAAUCCUUCCAGUUGAACUUGUUGUGGCAAAGAAUCAACUGCAGAAGAAGAGUGCAACACAUUUCAGGGAAACAAAGAGGGAGGGGGUGCCAGGAGAGGCAAAGCCUAAACUAGUAUUAAAUGAACACAGCUGUGCCUCGUUAAACAUUAAUUGGCAAUUAAUCAGACCCCCACCCCCAGUUGAUUAUAUCUUUAUAUCUUAAAAAAAAGAGAGAGAGAGAGCGAGAGAGGGAGAAUAAAGUAAAUUAUUCACCAGCAUCAGGAAAAUCUGUUCCACCACAACCUCUCUGUCUCCCUCCCUGCUUCUUCUCUCCUCCAUCUUCUUGCCCGUCUCCUCCCUCUUUGUGCUUCUUUCAUUUCAUUAAUAUAGUUUUAUGCCUUUAUCUGCGCUUCCUUCCCCUCAUCUGUCUAUAGUUCAUCCAAAGAUGGAAAAGGAGGGAGUGAAAGAGGGAUGUCAUAGAACGGAGGAAGUGCCAGAGGGGGCGAAGGAUGGAAGACGGGGAGGAAGGAGAGGCCCCCGGAUGAAGGAUUACAACAGGGAGAGUGGGACUGUUAGUUAACUGCGUGUGGGGAUACAUCCUCACUUGUUGAUUUCUUUGUCUUUAGGUUAUAAAACCCUGCCGAGUGAAUAGAGUAGCCAUAGCAUAGCCAACAUCUGGCAGCAGUGAACAGACGCAGCAGAGUUUUAGCUGAUUACAUUGUAGCUCCACCCCCUUCCGCUCUGCAUUAUCCGACUGUGUUGAUACAGCUAGAGCCAGAAUUUGUUCUCCUGACUUAGAUAGUUUACUUCUUUGCUGUCAGAUGAAUAACAGAAAACAUGCAUGCUGGUUAUUUUGUAGUAGCCAUUGAUGGCUUCCUUUAAUCUGCCCGCUUCUGAAUGUUUCAGCUUCAUGUCUGAAUGCACACCCUGCUCACUUUCAUGUAUUCCCGCGUGGUCCGACCCAGUAACUUUAACCCACCACAUGAUGGAUGGUGUUACAGUGACGACCAGGAGACUCAUGUCUCUACUGUGUGACCUCUUAAAGACACGGUUUAGGAAGCAACACAUGCAUUUGUGCAUGGAGGAAGAUAGUGUUAACAGGGGUGUCAAACAUGAGGCUCAGGGGCCAGAGUCGGCCCAGCAAAGACUCCAAACUGGCUCAUUGGGCGGCUUUGGAAAAUGCAAAUGAUGGCCUAAAGUUUGGACUUUGGACUGUUUUCAUGUUUUGACCCUUCCCCAAAGCCCAAAGAGUUGUGCUGAGAUAUUUCUCUCAUUUCCUUUUACUUACUACAAUAGAAAAACUGUGCAAAAACUGAAAUUUGCAGUGUAAAGGUAUAGUUGCACAUCUUCACUCUGACAGGGGAAUUGGUCCAGGCGACUGAAGAUCAAAGUGGGUCAAAAGUUUGAUUUUGGUGAUUUAUAGUAAACGGAAACAGGACUCUGACAGUUGAGCUGUUUUUUAAAACCUGCAGUUCCAUGAUUACUGUUACUAAACUGUACUAAAGUGUGUGUGAAUGCAUUCCUGUAAUUAUAUAUCGCAUGUGGCAGAGUAAGUUUGUAGAUAUAUAGCCAGCAAGUUAAUAAACGUGUCACCUGAUGUCCUACCAAAUCCCAACCACUAUAUAUGAGUACUGUCAGUGUUGUGUGAUGUUACAUGAUGCACCUCUAAAAGGCAGAACGACAUCAAGUCGUCAAACUGACGAGGCGUCCGUGCCUGAAAAGUGCUAAAGUGAGAAACUUGUCAGAUGUAGUUCUGACCCCUAUCCUGCAUGAGUUAGGAAGGACAGGUUUUGAGAUGCUGAAUCGACAAAAACUUGAAACACGAAACCAGGAAAAACCUGAAAUUUUGGUCUGAGGCAGAGAGGAAACGUGUAUUUUCAAAUGCUCCCAGGCAGAUGUACUCUCAGAGCAACCUGCGAACGAUGUUGAGGUUCAUAUGCAGCAUAUGUGGCCGCAGGCACUUUCUGUUCCUACUGUAAAGUGUUUGAAGACGAACUGUGCGCACCGUGUGCGUGCAGUAAACCCAGUCUGUCCUGCAGAUCCAGUGCUUCAGGCUGUUCUGCCCAGUGCUACAAGCUUAUAUAACAGUACUGAUUACAGCAGCAAGAAUAACCUGCCUUGCACUCACUGACACACUUUUUUUUUCCGCCUCUCCUCGAUCUGUCGCUAUCUCCUCAUCCCAGCUCACACUUGUUUCCUCUCUCCCACAACUAGGCUA